This 254-nucleotide ribosomal RNA is filed under the name uncultured bacterium. RNAcentral's name for it is "partial 16S ribosomal RNA". It matches the Rfam family "Bacterial small subunit ribosomal RNA", at positions 524 to 776 of the family's 1533-position model. The record is from RNAcentral.
CACGUAGGGGGCGAGCGUUGUCCGGAUUUAUUGGGCGUAAAGAGCUCGUAGGCGGUUCGGCAAGUCGGGUGUGAAACCCCCAGGCUCAACCUGGGGACGCCACCCGAUACUGCUGUGACUGGAGUCCGGUAGGGGAGCGUGGAAUUCCUGGUGUAGCGGUGAAAUGCGCAGAUAUCAGGAGGAACACCAGCGGCGAAGGCGGCGCUCUGGGCCGGUACUGACGCUGAGACGCGAAAGCGUGGGGAGCGAACAGG